ACAAACAAUCACUUCAGGCAUAACCACCAUUAAUCUAAGGCACCAUAAGAUAUGGAAUCUGACCAGAAAUGUCUAUAAUGAUCCAGGACUAACAAACAGGGGGAAAAGUAAUAGAAACUGCCAACAAAGGAGUCAAGUCUGCUUGCAAUCUUCACUCAUUUUCAUGAUAGAAUAUUGUCCAAACUUGCUUAAUAUGCAACCAGAAAUAGCUAGAGAGUGAUGGUAUAAAUCUGCAUAGCCAAAUAAGCAAGAGAUGGACCACUAAACCUUGCAUAGAAUCUCAUAUAUAUCAAGAUCAGAGAUAGUAACUAAAUUCCCAAACUUGUGGAAAACAGGAUAAUGACAAUAGCACACAAACUCUUCAAAUAUUUCACCCAAAAUGAAGACCAAUGUUCCUCAAAAGUAUUAACAUAAAUCUGUCACAUGACACAAUCCAAACUUCACCUCAAGGGACAUGUAACUCAAGAACUCACUCAUGGAUUUGACAAGCUUCGUGAAUGGACAUCAAGAAAUAGUGAAUUGCCCAAUCUAACCAAUCAAUAACCCAAAUAAAACAAUGUUGCAGCAGAGACCGGAACCCACUAAUUCUCAAAAUAGUGCUAUUUGAGACCAAUUGCUAUAAGAAUGCUCCAUUCAAUGCUAUAAGGAAUGCUCCAUCAGCAAUCUCAAAUCCAAUCAACAACAGUAUAGCAACAGAGUAUUGUAUAUGCAAUACUUCCACUAAACCAAAUGCACAAAUCCAAUUAACAAUGAAACACUUAAGAGAACCUGAACAAAAACUACAAUAUACAUUUGUGCAGAACACUUGAAUGCAUAAAAUCCCAACAAAUCAAAGGUAGCAAGAUCAAAGAGUGAUUCUUGUAAGCAAAGAAAUCUUAUCCAAGUAAGCAACGUUGUUUGCUUACAAGUUCUACCUGAAUCAUCAUUUUACUUUCACUUAAGACUUUCC
Molecule: long non-coding RNA, 949 nt
Filed under: Medicago truncatula (barrel medic)
Lineage: Eukaryota; Viridiplantae; Streptophyta; Magnoliopsida; Fabales; Fabaceae
Description: long non-coding RNA (MTRU_LNC003927)
Source: RNAcentral